UGGGGAAUUUUCCGCAAUGGGCGAAAGCCUGACGGAGCAAUGCCGCGUGGAGGUGGAAGGCCUACGAGUCGUCAACUUCUUUUCUCGGAGAAGAAACAAUGACGGUAUCUGAGGAAUAAGCAUCGGCUAACUCUGUGCCAG
Molecule: ribosomal RNA, 141 nt
Filed under: uncultured bacterium
Lineage: Bacteria
Description: partial 16S rRNA
Rfam family: Bacterial small subunit ribosomal RNA
Source: RNAcentral